AGUGAACGCUGGCGGUAGGCCUAACACAUGCAAGUCGAACGGCAGCACAGUAAGAGCUUGCUCUUACGGGUGGCGAGUGGCGGACGGGUGAGGAAUACAUCGGAAUCUACUUUUUCGUGGGGGAUGACGUAGGGAAACUUACGCUAAUACCGCAUACGACCUACGGGUGAAAGCAGGGGAUCUUCGGACCUUGCGCGAUUGAAUGAGCCGAUGUCGGAUUAGCUAGUUGGCGGGGUAAAGGCCCACCAAGGCGACGAUCCGUAGCUGGUCUGAGAGGAUGAUCAGCCACACUGGAACUGAGACACGGUCCAGACUCCUACGGGAGGCAGCAGUGGGGAAUAUUGGACAAUGGGCGCAAGCCUGAUCCAGCCAUACCGCGUGGGUGAAGAAGGCCUUCUGGUUGUAAAGCCCUUUUGUUGGGAAAGAAAAGCAGCAGGUUAAUACCCCGCUGUUCUGACGGUACCCAAAGAAUAAGCACCGGCUAACUUCGUG
RNAcentral lists this ribosomal RNA (492 nucleotides) under uncultured bacterium. RNAcentral's name for it is "partial 16S ribosomal RNA". It matches the Rfam family "Bacterial small subunit ribosomal RNA", at positions 29 to 507 of the family's 1533-position model. The record is from RNAcentral.